This 92-nucleotide small RNA is filed under the name Escherichia coli. RNAcentral describes it as "partial RtT sRNA". It matches the Rfam family "RtT RNA", at positions 1 to 90 of the family's 130-position model. Rfam says of the family: This family represents a bacterial cis-regulatory element known as RtT RNA. The exact function of RtT is unknown although it is thought that it may be involved in changing the cellular response in relation to amino acid starvation. The record is from RNAcentral. Lineage: Bacteria; Pseudomonadati; Pseudomonadota; Gammaproteobacteria; Enterobacterales; Enterobacteriaceae.
AUUCUGCCCAUGCGGGGAAGGAUGAGAAGCUUCGACUAAGGUUCGGCUCGAGCGUCAGCGAGAGAGCGUUGCCGCAGGCAACGACCCGAAGG